RNAcentral lists this unclassified non-coding RNA (237 nucleotides) under Hevea brasiliensis (rubber tree). The record is from RNAcentral. Lineage: Eukaryota; Viridiplantae; Streptophyta; Magnoliopsida; Malpighiales; Euphorbiaceae.
GCAACUGAUAAGUCAAAACUUGCAAAAUUCAAUUGUUAAAGUUCUGCAAAAGAAGAAAUAAAUGAAGCACCUGAAUAAUCAACCAUUAUGAACAAUCAAGGGAUUGCAUUGAGCCAGAAAUCCAGGGAAGUUGCAGUAGAUGUAGAAAGGGAAGAACUAAAAGAUGAUUGUGGAGAGAGAGGAAAGGGAUUUUUGCAGGGAAGAACAAAGUUGAAGGGGCUUCAAUCCUUGGCUUUU